AGGAAAGGAGACAAGGGCACAUGAAGGAUGCCUUGGCUCUCGGAGGCGAUGAAGGACGUGACAAGCUGCGAAAAGCCGCGGGGAGGGGCAAAUGCCCAGUGAUCCGCGGAUGUCCGAAUGGGGCAACCCGCCGGGAGCGAUCCCGGCAUCCGGCUAUAUUCCGGAGGCGAACGUGGGGAACUGAAACAUCUAAGUACCCGCAGGAAGAGAAAGUAAGAACGAUUCCCCCAGUAGCGGCGAGCGAACGGGGAUGAGCCCAAACCGGCGGCGUGGCGACGCGCGUGCCGGGGUUGUAGGACCGCCGACAGGAGGGGGCGGGGUCAGCGGAACCGGCUGGAACGCCGGGCCGAAGCGGGUGAAAGCCCCUUACGCGAAGACCCCAGCCACCGGCAGGCGGCACCUGAGUAGGCCGGGACACGAGAAAUCCCGGUUGAAUCCGCGGGGACCAUCCCGCAAGGCUAAAUACUACCGAGAGACCGAUAGCGAACGAGUACCGUGAGGGAAAGGUGAAAAGCACCUCGGACAGAGGAGUGAAAAAGACCCUGAAACCAUGCGCCCACAAGCGGUCGGAGCCACCUAGUGUGGUGACGGCGUGCCUUUUGCAUAAUGAACCUGCGAGUUGCCGUCGGCGGCGAGGCUAAGUGCCUGAGGCACGGAGCCGGAGCGAAAGCGAGUCCGAACAGGGCGCCGAGUCGCCGGAGGCAGACGCGAAACCGAGUGAUCUACGCAUGGUCAGGAUGUAGGACAGGUAACACUGUCUGGAGGUCCGAACCGGUAAGCGUUGAAAAGCUUUCGGAUGAACUGUGCGUAGGAGUGAAAGGCCAAUCAAACUCGGAGAUAGCUCGUACUCCCCGAAAUGCAUUUAGGUGCAGCCCGGGCGAGACUACCGCGGAGGUAGAGCGACCGAUAGGAUGCGAGGGCUUCGCCGCCUAUCAAGUCCUGACGAACUCCGAAUGCCGCGACAUGAUGCCCGGGAGUGAGGGCGCGGGUGCUAAGGUCCGCGUCCGAGAGAGGAACAACUCAGACCACCGUCCAAGGCCCCGAAAUCCGGGCUGAGUUGAAGGCAAUAACGAGGUGGGGCCGCAGCGACAGCUAGGAUGUUGGCUUGGAAGCAGCCAUUCAUUUAAAGAGUGCGUAACAGCUCACUAGUCGAGUGGUCCCGCGUGGAUAAUAAUCGGGCAUAAGUCCGUUGCCGAAGCCGUGGAAUCCUGAUGACUCAGGAUUGGUAGGGGAGCAUUCCGGUAGCCGUCGAAGGCAUGGCGCGAGCCGUGCUGGAGGCCCCGGAAAAGCAAAUGUAGGGAUAAGUAACGACAAGGAGGGCGAGAAAC
RNAcentral lists this ribosomal RNA (1328 nucleotides) under Klebsiella pneumoniae. RNAcentral describes it as "partial 23S ribosomal RNA". It matches the Rfam family "Bacterial large subunit ribosomal RNA", at positions 1 to 1329 of the family's 2925-position model. The record is from RNAcentral. Lineage: Bacteria; Pseudomonadati; Pseudomonadota; Gammaproteobacteria; Enterobacterales; Enterobacteriaceae.